Hyla sarda is the source of this 107-nucleotide small nuclear RNA. Lineage: Eukaryota; Metazoa; Chordata; Amphibia; Anura; Hylidae. The record is from RefSeq and is a predicted model, not a curated record.
AUUUAAUGAAUAUAGUAAAUUAACAGACAUAUUGGUACAAUACUGUGCAGAUUGCAGGGCGUCUGCACAAGGAUGACAUGCAAUUUUGUGAGGCGUUUCAUUAGUAU